GGGGGAUAUUAGGCAAUGGGGGAAACCCUGACCUAGCGACGCCGCGUGAAGGAAGAAGGUUUUCGGAUUGUAAACUUCUUUGACGAGGGACGAUAAUGACGGUACCUCGAGAACAAGCCACGGCUAACUACGUGCCAGCAGCCGCGGUAAUACGUAGGUGGCGAGCGUUGUCCGGAUUUACUGGGUGUAAAGGGCGAGUAGGCGGGACGGCAAGUCAGAUGUGAAAUACGGAGGCUCAACCUCCGGGCUGCAUUUGAAACAGCUGUUCUUGAGUGAUGGAGAGGUAAGCGGAAUUCCCGGUGUAGCGGUAAAAUGCGUAGAUAUCGGGAGGAACACCGGUGGCGAAGGCGGCUUACUGGACAUCAACUGACGCUGAGGCGCGAAAGUGUGGGGAGCAAAC
Molecule: ribosomal RNA, 400 nt
Filed under: uncultured bacterium
Lineage: Bacteria
Description: bacterial SSU rRNA
Rfam family: Bacterial small subunit ribosomal RNA
Source: RNAcentral